GCGGGUAUAGUUUAGCGGUAAAAGUGUGAUUCGUUACAUUAUCAACUCGAAUAAUGGAAGGAUCUUUUACAUGGAUCUUUGAUCCAUCUAAAGCUCUAUUUCCAGAUAGGUUCAAAACCUCCCCUAU
Molecule: transfer RNA, 127 nt
Filed under: Pinus thunbergii (Japanese black pine)
Lineage: Eukaryota; Viridiplantae; Streptophyta; Pinopsida; Pinales; Pinaceae
Description: 5'trnG
Source: RNAcentral